CUUCUGCCAUGUGAGGACACAGAGAGAAGUCUGCAGCAGAACCUGACCAUGCUGGCAAGGGCCCUCAUUUUAGUAGCUCUUCGUUAUCCCCUCCAGGCAGAGAAGAGUAAUCUUUGGGAAGACAUGACACAAGAAACCCCUGGGCCCCUGAGGGUAGAUGACAGAAGUGGGAGAAGAAGGGAUCUCCACAGAAGCCUUGCUCCCCCCUGGGUGUGAGUGGCUCUGGAGACAACAAAUUGAGGUUCUGCUGUGAUGACAUCAAGCAGGGCAUCUUGACACAGCCUGGGGCAGAGAUGGGACAGGGAUCACAAAUGAGAUGUAACUGACAAUUACACACAAUACUUAUUAAUUUUUUAGAGGCUUGGAAAUAAAAUGAUUUCUUUUUA
This is a long non-coding RNA of Orcinus orca (killer whale), 386 nucleotides long. RefSeq lists it as uncharacterized. The record is from RefSeq and is a predicted model, not a curated record. The transcript is spliced from 3 exons. Lineage: Eukaryota; Metazoa; Chordata; Mammalia; Artiodactyla; Delphinidae.